UGGGGAAUAUUGCACAAUGGGGGAAACCCUGAUGCAGCGACGCCGCGUGAACGAAGAAGGUAUUCGUAUCGUAAAGUUCUGUCCUAUGGGAAGAUAAUGACAGUACCAUAGAAGAAAGCUCCGGCUAAAUACGUGCCAGCAGCCGCGGUAAUACGUAUGGAGCGAGCGUUGUCCGGAAUUAUUGGGCGUAAAGGGUACGCAGGCGGUUUAAUAAGUAGAAUGUUAAAGAUCGGGGCUCAACCCCGUAAAGCAUUGGAAACUGAUCAACUUGAGUAGUGGAGAGGAAAGUGGAAUUCCUAGUGUAGUGGUGCAAUACGUAGAUAUUAGGAGGAAUACCAGUAGCGAAGGCGACUUUCUGGACACAAACUGACGCUGAGGUACGAAAGCGUGGGGAGCAAACAGG
RNAcentral lists this ribosomal RNA (403 nucleotides) under bacterium. RNAcentral's name for it is "partial 16S ribosomal RNA". It matches the Rfam family "Bacterial small subunit ribosomal RNA", at positions 355 to 776 of the family's 1533-position model. The record is from RNAcentral.